GCAAGGGCCGCCCGAGGGCUGCGAUGCGGAGUCUGCCCCAGAGCUCCCUGAAAACUCUCAUUUGGCCUAUAAAGAGAGGAGGACACCCGCCUGCGUGGGACUUUGUGCUGCUGGGCCUUGUGAGCUGCUGAGGAGGGCGUAAAAGACAGGUGUAUGUUGCCAGCACUAAUGUCACCGUGGUGCUUGGUUUGGCAAAUCAGCCUCCUCAGUGAGCGCUGCAUGAGCUGAUACUGCGUACCUGAGUAUUACACUGAAGCAAUACCCGGAGAUGGAUCGGGCAUCCCAGCUUGCAGAAGUUAGGGAAGAGUGCCAGGGCCAUCUGGACAUCACUCAGGGGGCAGUGAGGACCCCAGAACUGGGAUUCAACCCCCAUCACCAUUGCAAAGGUAGGAUCACCAUGCGCUAAUAGGUCAUGACGACCACUUUGGAGCCCUUAGCACUUUAGGACUUCUUUUAGUCAGGAAUUUAUGUGAAUAUGUUGGUUGUCACUGAGUA
Molecule: long non-coding RNA, 495 nt
Filed under: Struthio camelus australis
Lineage: Eukaryota; Metazoa; Chordata; Aves; Struthioniformes; Struthionidae
Description: lncRNA (ENSSCUG00000015902.1)
Source: RNAcentral